RNAcentral lists this ribosomal RNA (444 nucleotides) under Acinetobacter sp. 308(2010). RNAcentral describes it as "bacterial SSU rRNA". It matches the Rfam family "Bacterial small subunit ribosomal RNA", at positions 30 to 474 of the family's 1533-position model. Lineage: Bacteria; Pseudomonadati; Pseudomonadota; Gammaproteobacteria; Moraxellales; Moraxellaceae. The record is from RNAcentral.
UUGAACGCUGGCGGCAGGCUUAACACAUGCAAGUCGAGCGGGGAAAAGUAGCUUGCUACUUGACCUAGCGGCGGACGGGUGAGUAAUGCUUAGGAAUCUGCCUAUUAGUGGGGGACAACAUCUCGAAAGGGAUGCUAAUACCGCAUACGUCCUACGGGAGAAAGCAGGGGACCUUCGGGCCUUGCGCUAAUAGAUGAGCCUAAGUCGGAUUAGCUAGUUGGUGGGGUAAAGGCCUACCAAGGCGACGAUCUGUAGCGGGUCUGAGAGGAUGAUCCGCCACACUGGGACUGAGACACGGCCCAGACUCCUACGGGAGGCAGCAGUGGGGAAUAUUGGACAAUGGGGGGAACCCUGAUCCAGCCAUGCCGCGUGUGUGAAGAAGGCCUUUUGCUUGUAAAGCACUUUAAGCGAGGAGGAGGCUACCGAGAUUAAUACUCUUGGAUA